UUUCUGUAAUCUGGCAAGCUAGGGACGUGCUGGUUGAUGGUGGCGAUUCAUGCUUGUUCUUAAUUUGAGAGCAGCUAACGUUCUCACAUAAUCACAAAAUUCCAGGACACAGACUGAACAAAAAAGCAAAAAAGAACAACAACAACAAGAAAAAAGCCUCAAUCCACCCAGUAAUAUAACCCCAUGAUAAAACGCUAGGAACAAGCCAGCUACAGCCUCUCCGGAUCUUUUUCUCUCUCCCUCAUUUUGCCCUGUGAGGGACUAGGUUGUCCCCUUUCUCCUGUCUUUGCUGAGGCUGGGACUCGACCCCCUGGCUGUGUCAGAUAAAGUUGGAAGCUGUGGGUCCCUGGGGACAGGCCACCCCCCAGCCUGAGGGGACUGUCCCUUCUUGUCCAUCUCUUGAGAGUGGCAGAAGGGCUGGAGGCAGCGUGCCCGAGGCUGUGCUCCACAUCUGCGAGGCAGAGGGAAGAGCACAAAGAACACUCCUCAGCCUCCCCUCAGGGUGUUGGCAGUAACUCCCUGUCCUCGGGGCUGGGUUUAAACUCUGGGCAGUCCCAAGCAACAAAGGACAGUUGUAAAAGCAAGGAAAAAGGUUUUCUGGAGCAAGGCCCAAAAUAAAAAGCAUUUUCUAGGCAUUACAGUACAUAUGUUUUUCAGCCCAGGCACAGAUACGUGCGCUCCCCUCCCACACAUCUGACUCUCAUUUCAGGCUGUAGUGUUUUAUCUGAGGGCGAGAGGCUGACUUUGGGAACAACGCCCAGACGCAGAGCCAAAAGAACUUCAUUGGCAGGUCUCUGAAAGAUUUUGUUUGUUUGUUUUCUUUCUGCUUUGGAGCCAUUUCUUACCCUCCAUGGCCAUCCCGUGGCAGCCUGCAGCUCCGAGGAAACCCGACCAGCUCAGCGAGACUGUGAUUCAGUCCCAAAGCUUCUGACUUGUUAGCUUCUUAGGAUAGCGUCAUCAUCCUGCACUGCAUGCCAAGAUUGUUUUGCACAGCUUUACAUUUUCACUCCUCAAAGCAAAAGGCAGCAGACAGACAGUGCAAAGGCUGAGACACUCCCCUCAUACCACGCAUUGCAUCCGGAGGGGAAGGGACGCGUGGGUUUUGCAAACCCGAGUCUGCCCUGCCAAAUUCAAGCUGCCUUUACAGUUGGGUAAGCAGAGCCGUGGAAGAGCUGGUGAGAGUCAGGAGCUGCCCCAGGUCUCAGAAACCCCACUGCAAGAGCAGGAACACACCUUAAAAUUCUACCUGGGAAAUCACCAGUUGCUAACUGAGUCCCUACAGGAGAAACAAUGGUGCCCCAGAGCCCACGCUGCACCACCUGCUGGACGCACCUACUAAUGCCUCGCUCUCAGGCAAAGGCAGCUAAAAAUUCACAAAAUCACCCCAAGAAAUAUCUCCUCCGGGUAUUUAGGGCAGGUUUUAAAAUCAGAGGGAAUCAGCGUGAGGUAAAGUGGAUUCCACCUGACCCAUCUGAAUUAGCAUCUCCUGACUCAGCCCAGCUGAGAGACAAUGCUGUGAGUGCAGCAGCUGCGAAUCCAUGUUUUAAAUGACACCCUCUUCUAGGCCAAAAAUUUAAAUGGAAAGCAGUAUCACAGCUGGAUUAACAGUUUUUUCCCUCAGAUUUCUGAACUGGGGACAAAAUUCCUGUUAUUUGUUUGGUGUGUAAGUCUUGUGACUUUGUCUGGCAUAAAACAGGGUUUGGGAUUUACCCUGUAAUUCCUGCUUUAGUUCUGUAAUUUCUUUCUGAACUAUCACUUCUAUUGAAAAUGAAUAAAUAAAUAAAUAAAUCCAGUCUUUAUGUAAAGAAUCAGUCUGCAAAAAGCUUCAAGCAUGGAUACAAGUAGUAGAGCAGAACCUCACUACUCACUGAUACAAAUGACUGAUCUAACUGAACACUAACCUGCAGCUUCUAUUGCUGCUCCUGCCCCCAUUCCUCCUGGAAAAUUGUUUGAGUUCAGUACAUAUACUCUAGAAUUAUUCUUUUUCAUUUUGUCUUUUAGGGAAAAAAAAAAGAAAAAAGAAAAGGGAAAACCAAACCAAAACAAAACCACCUAAUUUGCAAUAAAGAAGCUCAAUAGAAUAGCUGAAAAACAUUUACCUUCACAGAAAAUCAGUACCACACCACUGUAAUAUGAAUUUUCACUCAU
Molecule: long non-coding RNA, 2148 nt
Organism: Anas platyrhynchos (mallard)
Lineage: Eukaryota; Metazoa; Chordata; Aves; Anseriformes; Anatidae
Source: RefSeq, a predicted model, not a curated record